This is a long non-coding RNA of Gallus gallus (chicken), 738 nucleotides long. The record is from Ensembl. NCBI's taxonomy places the organism in Eukaryota, Metazoa, Chordata, Aves, Galliformes, Phasianidae.
CUCAUAAAUAUAUAGCCAGACGUUAUAAAUAUGCCAAGGUUUCUAAAGCUGGAACAGAGACUGUUCAAACAAAAGCCUUGCAUGGAUUUCUUUCCAUUGAGUUUCAAAAAAAAAAAAAAGAAAAAAGAAAUGUACAAUAUUAUGCUUGACAGCUCCUUCGGAUAAAAGAAAGAUGAUUAUAAACCAACGUGCUUCAGAAGAAAAGCCAAUGACUGCUGGCCAAGUUUUCAACAGAGCAACAAACAGAGCAAUUUGUUUUAAAGUUUUAAAGAGGACUUGUACUUGUCUGAAAUAGAUGAGCUUCAGGAACAGUGGGAAUGCAACGGAGCAAGCUGCCCAGCGUGGAGGUGGAGUCACUAUCCCUGGUUUUCAAGAGAAGUGUGGACCACUGAGUGGUCUGGAGUGGUCACAGAGACAUUGCCAGUCUUUAAAUUUGCAAUGAUGCCGCUAGUGAGGAACUAAGUAAUUGUGGAGCAGUUCUUGUAACUGAAUGUACACCCAUCUACUAAAGAAAGGCUUCACAGUGACAUACAUUCCAGAGGGAACAGCAUCACCAUGCCUCACAGCAAGGGCACCUGCUAUCAUCUGAGGAACGCCUUAAACACGAAGUUCAAAGCUUUACUGUGUUAUUUAGUAUCUUUCUGGAAAGAUCGUCUACUUGGCUAAGAGUAUCAUCAAUUAAAGCCUCGUCAUUUCACACUAUCUUUAUAAGUUAAUAAAUGAGAUUGCUAUUCUGAG